RNAcentral lists this non-coding RNA (28 nucleotides) under Mus musculus (house mouse). Lineage: Eukaryota; Metazoa; Chordata; Mammalia; Rodentia; Muridae. The record is from RNAcentral.
GCACAGGUUCAAACCUUGGCAGCCGCAU